Molecule: long non-coding RNA, 1002 nt
Organism: Dermochelys coriacea (leatherback sea turtle)
Lineage: Eukaryota; Metazoa; Chordata; Testudines; Dermochelyidae
Exons: 2
Source: RefSeq, a predicted model, not a curated record
AAGGUUACCGCACGUUCUUCUCAGUUGUUCACGUGCUGUUUAUUGCUAGGUUGAACGUCCAGCUGUUGAUCUUGUGCCUGGGGUGAAGUGCUCUGAGCUGUGUCAGUCCCUCCCAGGCUGGGAGUGCCCCUGGAAUCCUUCUUGCCAGGCAAAUUUACUGUGACAAACGUCUCCGUCAUCCUGCCUCUGACUGCAGUGGACAAGCCCUAGCUGGGGAUCCCAGUAGGCUUGGCAAGCCGGUCAAUUGACUGCCUGUUUGGCCGCAGUCAAAUAGUGUCAAAUACUCCAGCAAGAACCCUGGGUCUAGGAGGCAGCGUGAUUUUUGAUUGCAUCAUGGAGCCUCACUUGUGUUUUCAAGACUUGGUUUCAGUGUUUCACUUUUUAAUCUGAGUUAAAAUAACUCAGUUAAAUAAUUUUUUUAAAAUUAGGCAUAAGUAUCUAUCUAAAGCUAAAGCUACUGGAGACAAUGACGUCUUGCUCUUUUUUUUGUUACUGUUCUGAUAAAUUGGUAUUUUAAAAUAUUUGACCAUUUGUUUUUUUUAUGACACAUUUGAUGUACCAGUCAAAUGCCCAAUUUUAGGUGCAACUCUUACCUUCCAUAUUACUUUCUCAUUCUCAGUGCUGGCAUCUAAGCUUUCAUCAGCUGAUCUGUGCCCCCCUGUUAGACCCUCGUGCCCAGAAAGCUGGAUCGGAUACCGAGGGAAAUGCUACCAUUUCUCAGAGUUGGAAGGGAACUGGACCUACAGCCGGAGCCACUGCUCUGCAUUGGGUGCCUCCCUGGCUGGAAUGGACAGUGAGCAGGAAAUGGUUUCAGAUAAGAGGAGGAGGUGACUGCGCGUAUCUGAAUGACGAGAAGGGGUCAGCAGCUCACGGUGCUACAUGGAAAGACGGUGGAUCUGUAGCAAACCUGAGGUGUUUGUGAUGGGAAAAGAGACUGCAUUGGAAGGGGGCUCGAAAUAAGACUCCUAGAAAUGACACUGAUAUAACUCACACAUAUUUGAA